GGGAAGCGUAGAUCUACAGUUUGGAGUCCAUGCAUGACUCGAAAGUCCUCUGCAUGUAUGUAGAUCUGAAUGGACUCGGUGAGUCCUUUGAGUGGACUCGGCGAGUACCAUGAAGAUGAGGAGGAAGUCGACGAGUGGGAUGAACAGCUCGUCGAGUCGGAUGAAGAUAGGCAUGAACUCGGCGAGUUGGAUGAACAACUCGGCGAGUUGGAUGAAGAUUGUUGUGUGCUCGGCGAGUCUGUUCUUAGACUCGGCGAGUCAGGUCGCGGAGUUCCAAACCCUUCGAGUUAAGACUCGAGUCAACGAGUCGAGCAAGGACUCAGUGAGUUGGGCAGGACAGGAAUCGGGAAUCAGUAGACUCGGCGAGUCAGGGGCUGACUCGGCGAGUAGAGUCGCGAGUGGAAGGACUCUGGACUUAUGAAAUCGGCGAGUCAGUAGGGUGACUCGACGAGUAGGGUUGACCUGGAAGGUUGACUUUGACCAGGACUUUGACUUUGACCUGAGUUGACUUGGUUGUCUUUCGGGGGUCAGUUAGACUCAGUGUUGCCUUGAUAUUGAUAGCUCGGGAAGCAAGUAGAGCAGGAGUUCAGUCAGUGGUCGACUAGCGGUCAAAGGGAUCAGCAGCAGUUCAGCAGUAUCAGGUGAGUCUCCUCACUAUUUGCAUGGGUCUAGGGCACCAAUGCCGGCCCAUUUAGAAUAUGCAUGAAAGACCAGGGGGCGGCUCCUGGCACACAGUAUGUUAUUAUGUAUGAUAGGAAGACCCGGGGGUUAGCCCUAGGCAAUAUGCAUGAAAGACCAGGGGGUCGCUCCUGGCGCACAAUAUGUUAUUAUGUAUGACAGGAAGACCCGGGGGUUAGCCCUAGGCAAUAUGUAUGAAAGACCAGGAGGUGGCUCCCGGCGCAUUGUACGCUAUAGUUAUGAAAGACCAGGAGGUGGUUUCUGGCACAUUGUAUGCUGUUUAGCUAAGUAGAGUAGUAUGUACGGUUGUCUUUGUGAUACUUGCAUGGAAGCCCAGGGGGUGGCCCUUGGCACAUGUCUGUAAGACCAGGGGGUGGCCCUUAGCACUUGUCUGUAAGACCCAGGGAGCGGCCCAGGCUUGACCAGGAAGACCACGCGCGGCCCGUGGCAUAAUGGCAAGACUAUGUUUGGCACAUAGCACCUUACUUGGUUAUGGAUAAGUCGGUUAUGUAUGGUUCUUGGCUAUGAAUGGUUUGUAUGGUAUGUGGUAUCUGGGGAACUCACUAAGCUUCGUGCUUACGGCUUUCAGUUUUGGUUUCAGGUACUUCCGGUAGCGGAUGAUGGAGCUCGGGAUGAUCGCAUGGCACACACCAUAGAUUAGUCAGCCUGGGAAUGUUUUACUCUGAUAAUGAACAUGUGUUUUGAAAACUAAUACUCUGUUUAUGUUUUGAAAUGAUGAUUUUACUUUAAGUGAUACUUUAUUAAAAGAAAUUUUUAGUCUUGAAUUUUGGGACGUUACAAGUUGGUAUCAGAGCCUUGGUUUGAGGGAUUCGGGCAUACUCUUGGGUGUGCCUGAACUCAAACUGAGGGGUCGGAUAAAAAGUUUUCAAAAGUGAAAAGACAGUUUUGUAAAAAGAAUUUUGAGGACGAAAAACAGUUUUAGAAAAGCAAAAGGAAUUCAGAAAGAAAAGAACUUUGAAAAGAGAAAAGAGGUGUGGUGCAUGCAAUUAACCGAGCUCAAGUAAGAACCCCAAAUUACCCAUACAAGUUUAUGUUAUGCUUAUCAGUUGAUAGAACAGCAUGCUAGAAUAGGACUAAGGAUCUAGGGAUGAUGCCUUACGUGCCUGUUAUUUGAGCUUUUGAGUUGCAUGAUAGUACUGAUUAGACAGUAGCAGGAUAGCAUGUUUAGGUUAUGCCUGAGUUUAUGAGUUUGUGUUCAGAUUCUUGCUAUUUGGAUAUGAUUGCUUGAGUAUGUGGUGGUUAGAUUUUUCCCCUUGUCCGAAUGCUGCUUGGUUUGUGCAUUGUGGGAUUUUGAGUGAUGGGAGUUAGCCAUUAGGUGGAUACGUCACGUCACAUUGAUCAGGGUUGAAUAAUCUCAGAGUGCUGGAUUUGGCCCUAUUGCGCAGCUCUCGUUUGAGUCCAACCGUUGUAGGGACGAGUCUUUUACUUGAAGGAUUAUCUGAGCCUCGUCGCAUGUGAUGGUAUCCAGGUGAUGGCUAAUUGGCAUCACAAGGAGACCUUCAGCAGCUGAGGACUGGUUUGAGUUGAGCCAGAGGUUUCCCUAGGGUAAGCCUAGGAUGAGAUAGUGUUGGGAGCAGUAUUAGUGGAUAAGGGACCUGGUGGAGUCGAAGCAGUUCCUGAGGAAAGUACGGAUAGAUGUGGAAGGUAGUAUGGGCCCGUACUACUGAAAGCAGAGGAUCCGUACUCGAUCCGGGAAAGGCCGAGACAAGACCGGGAACCUGUAGGGUAUGUUUGGUCUCACAUCAAUGAUCAGUAUUCUGAUAGUAAUUGUGUUAUAUUUUCAGCAUGGUGACGUUGCGAGAGAGACCAGUGGGCGGGUCAGGAUCCGAUUCAGGAUCAGGUUCGGGCGCGGGAUCCAAACCAGUUGGUGAUGGGUUGCGCGAGUUCAUCGCAUCUGAGAUUACAAGAGGCAUCCUUGAGGUGACCCCGAUCAUUUUCGGGUCGAUCAAAGAGGGGAUCAUUGAGCUGAUGAAGGAUCGCCUCUGAGCUUUCAGGAGUGAUUGGGCGUCUGGCCAGGCAAGUACGCGCACGCUGUCCAUCAAGGACUUCAGAGCGUGUGGUGCGCCGGAUUUUCACGGGGUGAAGAACCCCAUUGCUGCCAAGAGAUGGAUCGCAGACAUUGAGUCUGCGCAGUUGACGAGCUUCUGCCCGGAUGGGUCGAAGGUCCGCUUUGCGGCGGCAUGUUUGAGAGACAGAGCUAGAGAUUGGUGGGAGUCAGUUGGAGACUCAUUGGGAGCCUCGGUCGUCGAGACUAUGACCUAGUCAGACUUCGUGACCAGGUUUAGGGCGGAUUUUGCGCUGGCAGUGGAGCUUCAGCAGCUGGCCAGAGAAUUCCUAAUAUGAGACAGACGACAGAGUCGGUGGCAGAGAUUACUGCCAAGUUUCGGGAGAGGGCCCUAUUAGUUCCUCAGCAUGCGGGGGAUGAUGAGAUGCAGAGGACCCGCUAUCAUGACAUGUUGAGAGCGGAGAUUCGGGAGCAUGUCAGCUUCUCGGCAUGCCCGACCCUGGACUCUAUGAUUGCCAGAGCUAGGGAGAGGGAGAUCGAUCUGGAGCACAUUGCGAAGAGGAAGUCAGAUUAGACAUUCACACUGGAGGGUCCCAGGAAGAGACCCAAGACUUCAGAUCAGCGAUUAGUGGGUCAGCAGGGCCGAAGUCAGUGCAGCACGUGCGGGAAACAGCACGAGGGAGUGUGUCGUUCCAGGGGUUCCGGCUGCUACAAGUGUGUCCGGGAGGGUCACGUCAGCAGGGACUGCCCACGGGGGGCAAGCCCGUUAUGUUUUCACUACAAUCAGGUGGGCCACAAGAGGACCGACUGCCCGAUGAUGAGGGGAGGAGCAGGGAGUGCGCCUGCCCCAGCGAUUAUGAGGAUUACAGAUGGGCGAGGGGGGUAGUGCCAUGCAGUGAUAGGUGAGGAGGAUCCGGGCUACAGGAAGGAAUGUUGCAGGUACGUAUCUAUGGCUAUUUUCAUUCCUAUAUGAAUUAUGGAAGUUUUUGCCCUGGAAUCAGGCGAUUUUAUGUAUGAUUUGUCUCUCUGCUUGUAUGUGGACUGUAUUUUGGAAUUGUCAUAUGCCAAUUGCAUACCAGGAGCUAUUAGUAGCUAGUGUAGGUUAUCUUUCAUUUCGGGAUCGAAGUGUUCAGUAUCAUCUCAGUUACGGAUGGAAAUGAUUCGGGAAGUGGUCAGCCACCAUCAUCGGGAUUUGAUGGUUCUAACCGGGGCAUUCGGGAUGGCUUUCGGAUGCAUCAAGGAAAGUGGCUUAUCACCAAGGAGUCUGUGCCCAGUUAUUCGGAACGUAAGGACAGUAGUCAGAGCUUAGAGGAUUUAUUUAGCAUCAGAGAUGCGGGCGGUGUUCAUCUAGUAUUCGGUAAUCAUGCGGUAGUUGGAGUGGGCUAGAGACGGAUUGCUAGCAGGGAUAUGGCGAUGGUGGUUACCAUGCCUAUCGUGUAAGGAAGGAAGGAAUGGAUAUCUUCGGGUUUUCGCAGGCAGUAAAGACUUAGCUGAGGCUAAGUGGGGGAGAAACAAUCAGGUUACGGGAGUAGAAGGGGUUUUGAAACUAGGUUAAGUUUCGCUCUCCUGUUGGGAAGAAAGACGGCUCAGGUGACUAUAUGAUUGGAGGAUAGUGUAAAUUGGAAGUUGGGAAAACUUGCCAAUUGUGAGAUCUCAUUUUUGAAAUUUUCUGGUCGCGAAUUACAUAGGAAUCGGUUGGGAGUUCUAUUUGGGACAUGGGUACCACUUGGGGGUACUCGAUUGUGCUGUAUGAUCAACUGUGGGUUAGUCGUAACAUCCAUUAGCAGCUAGACGGUGGGGAAAGGUGUUGUCAGACUACCGGGUGGCCCAUAGCAUUAGAUUGGUAAGACUGCGGUGUGGCCCGUAGCAUUAGAUUGGUAAGACUGUGGUGUGGCCCGUAGCACUAGAUUAGUGAGACUGCGGUGUGGCUCGCAUCAAUUGUAUGANNNNNNNNNNNNNNNNNNNNNNNNNNNNNNNNNNNNNNNNNNNNNNNNNNNNNNNNNNNNNNNNNNNNNNNNNNNNNNNNNNNNNNNNNNNNNNNNNNNNNNNNNNNNNGUAAGACUACGGGGUGGCCCGUAGCAUUCAUCGGUCCCUAUUCGUUAGGGCGAAUGUAUCAGGUGUGUGAUUUAGUGGCAGAAUGGAUUGAGCGGUUAUUGGUAAAGUUUCUUCGAAAGUCGCUGGAAGCGACUAGGAGUUGAGUUGGGACUAGCGACUAGUGGGAGCCGGUAAUCCAGAUAUCGGUAGAUUGGUAGGGACCAAGGUGGUCUCAGUUCAUCCGGAAGGCAGAUAAGGAAUAGCAGAAAUUUCCAGCCAGUGGCAGUGCCGGUAAGCAGUCUAUGGUUGAAUUCAGAUAGUUGGUCGAGGGGUGCUAGGCACCAAGUUCUGUCAGAAAGCAGUGUCAGUGGGGACAAACGGUGAUGACUCGCUCUGGGAAUAGUGGGGGUGAUGGAGUUGGUGAAGGAUAGGACCUUUACAGUGUCUGAGGAAAUAGUUGGAUAUGGAGCUUGCCCUGGGAAGGCAAGAAAUUGCGCAAGGAAAGAAGUGGAGAACCUCUGCGGGUUCAGUGCAGUACUCGGAAGGUACCAGAAUGAUUGUCGGUGGAAUAAAAUGUGUUUCCAGAAUGUUCAGGGUUAGGGUUGACCCGAGAUGAUUAUCCGCAAGGAUUGACGCUAGUAACCAAGAGGAAGACCAGCGAAGGUAGGCAGCUGGUGUUGGAUUAAUUAGUGGGGGUAUUGGAGGCGGAUCGCAGGCGCUGGGCUAUGGCAAACUUCGAGGACGAAGUUUAAUUUAAGUGGGGGAGAGUUGUAACACCCAAAGUUUUGAAGACCAAGAAAGGGAAGAAAACCCUAAGUUUAGGGGUCGACUCGGCGAGUCCAAGGAGGGACUCGGCGAGUCGGAGCGGGAUCCGGGUCGAGGAGUAAGUGACCUUUUCGGCGAGUCGGCCAAGGUGACUCGGCGAGUCUGGUCUGUGCGAGGAAAACCCUAAUUAUGGGAGUGUAUCAUAUAUAAAGGGUGUUAUGUCCCUCCCUCAGCCCCCAUAUCACUCCAGAAGACCUGUAAACCUUAUAAUUCGUGUGAGCUUCCAUUAUCGAGAGAAAUAGCUUUGGGAGGAAGGAAACUUUGGAGAGAGACUUGAAGAUCAAGAAGGUUGCUUCAAGGGAGAGGUGUGGGCUCGAGAUCUACUUCAGUUUGUGUUCAUCUUGGAGGUAUUAAGCUGCCAUUUUCCCUUCUUUNUAGAUUUAUGUGUGGUUGUUGGGGCUCUUUAGCCAUAAUGAUAUUACUUUGAGUUAGGAGCCGGAUCUGGAGUUGCUACUUCAGAUCCAGGUGUGUUAGGGACUGGAGAAGCAUAAAGUAUCAACCCUUGAGUCGAUUUUGAAUCCCCUUGGCCUUAAACCCUAGUUUAUGGUGCUUAUUGCCUAGAUCUCCCUAUCUACACGUAAAGUUUGCAACUUUACGUGGGGGAUAGCCUUGGGAAGGGUAGAUCUACAGGUUGGAGUCCAUGCAUGACUCGAAAGUGCUCUGCAUGUAUGUAGAUCUGAAUGGAGUCGACGAGUCCUUUGAGUGGACUCGGCGGGUACCAUGAAAAUGAGGAGGAACUCGACGAGUGGGAUGAACAGCUCGUCGAGUCGGAUGAAGAUAGGCAUGAACUCGACGAGUUGGAUGAACAACUCGGCGAGUUGGAUGAAGAUUGUUGUGUGCUCGGCGAGUCUGUUCUUAGACUCGGCGAGUCAGGUCGCGUGGUCCCAAACCCUUCGAGUUAAGACUCGAGUCAGCGAGUCGAGCAAGGACUCAGUGAGUUGGACAGGACAGGAAUCGGGAAUCAGUAGACUCG
Molecule: long non-coding RNA, 6536 nt
Filed under: Lactuca sativa (garden lettuce)
Lineage: Eukaryota; Viridiplantae; Streptophyta; Magnoliopsida; Asterales; Asteraceae
Description: long non-coding RNA (LSAT_LNC004085)
Source: RNAcentral